GCCUUCGUUGUGUAGUGGUCAGUAUGCUAGGCGCGUUUUCUAGAGGUCAGUGGUUCGAGUCCCGGCGAAGGCA
RNAcentral lists this transfer RNA (73 nucleotides) under Stegodyphus mimosarum. It matches the Rfam family "tRNA". Rfam says of the family: Transfer RNA (tRNA) molecules are approximately 80 nucleotides in length. Their secondary structure includes four short double-helical elements and three loops (D, anti-codon, and T loops). Further hydrogen bonds mediate the characteristic L-shaped molecular structure. tRNAs have two regions of fundamental functional importance: the anti-codon, which is responsible for specific mRNA codon recognition, and the 3' end, to which the tRNAs corresponding amino acid is attached (by aminoacyl-tRNA synthetases). tRNAs cope with the degeneracy of the genetic code in two manners: having more than one tRNA (with a specific anti-codon) for a particular amino acid; and 'wobble' base-pairing, i.e. permitting non-standard base-pairing at the 3rd anti-codon position. Lineage: Eukaryota; Metazoa; Arthropoda; Arachnida; Araneae; Eresidae. The record is from Rfam by way of RNAcentral.